CAGCUUCCGCCUGGACAUGUCUGUCCUCUGUGGUCCUCUCACUCUCCCCAGUCCCCCUUUUCUCCACUGCCACAGAGAGGGCCCUCCAGAUCUUGGUACGAGCUGAGGCAGGUCUGAACUAAUCACAGCAAAGGAGUCCUGGAACGGAGGAGCCCUGUUGUGACCGAAUUGGGAGGGCUCUGGCAGGGAGCCAGGAUGCCAUCUUACAGGACUGGGAGCCCUGCUGGAACAAUGCACGGGGGCAGAGAGCUGAGAAAGCAAGACUGACCGCAGCAUGCCUGGCUGUAGCAUGCCUGGCUGCAGCAUGCCUGGCCGCAGCAUGCCUGGCUGCGCUGUGUUCCUUUGAGCCUGCAUCCCAGGAGAAGAACUACUGGCUCUUUACCCUAGCUGAGUGCAGAGUCAGUUCCUUGAGGAAUAUCACAAAGUACUGCGGCAGGAUAGAUAGGAUAUGGGGUCCGCUCCACUAAGAGCCUGCUCCUUGGUAAUGAUACUGGGGACUCAGCCAACUCCUAGACCGAAAAGGCGUUGGUUCCAAGCCCCUGUCCAGCAAUUUUUCUUCUCUUGGGAAGCUUCCUGGAGUGUCCAUGUGGUUCCUCUGAGAAGCCAGGAACAUGGGUUAUUACUAUCAUUAAGUUCUCUCUCUCUCUUUCUCUUUUUUUCCAUUUUUCUAGACAGGGUUUCUCUGUGUAACAGCUCUGGCUGUUCUGGAACUCGAUUUGUAGAUCAGGCUGGUCUUGAACUCACAGAGAUCUGCCUGCCUCUGCCUCCUGAGUGCUGGGAUUAAAGGUGUGUGCCACCACUGCCA
Peromyscus californicus insignis is the source of this 805-nucleotide long non-coding RNA. RefSeq lists it as uncharacterized. The transcript has 2 exons. Lineage: Eukaryota; Metazoa; Chordata; Mammalia; Rodentia; Cricetidae. The record is from RefSeq and is a predicted model, not a curated record.